Molecule: long non-coding RNA, 220 nt
Filed under: Homo sapiens (human)
Lineage: Eukaryota; Metazoa; Chordata; Mammalia; Primates; Hominidae
Description: LHRI_LNC1117.1
Source: RNAcentral
CUUUUGUUUCUCCUCACGGUUGCUGGGCCGUCGCCGCCGUCGCCGCUUUACCCUGGUCCCGCAGUCCCCGCUGUCGUUGUUGAGGACUCCUCCUGGUUCUUCUUUUUCUUUCCUUCUUCCUCCUCUUCCUCCUCUGCUGUCGCCGCUGCUGCCGCCGCCGCCGCCGCCACCGCCUCCCGGUGCCCGGGUCCCGCAGCCGCGGCUGAGUCCUUCUCCUCAG